AGAGUUUGAUCCUGGCUCAGAACGAACGCUGGCGGCGUGGAUAAGACAUGCAAGUCGAACGGAGAUCUUGAAUAGCUUGCUAAUUAAGAUCUUAGUGGCGGACGGGUUAGUAACACGUGAGAACCUACCCUUUAGACAGGAAUAGCCCAUGGAAACGUGGAUUAAUGCCUGAUAGUCUCUACGGAGUAAAUGGUGCCUCCGGGUAUCGCUAGAGGAUGGGCUCGCGGCCUAUCAGCUUGUUGGUGAGGUAAAGGCUCACCAAGGCGACGACGGGUAGCUGGUCUGAGAGGACGAUCAGCAACACUGGAACUGAGACACGGUCCAGACACCUACGGGUGGCAGCAGUCGAGAAUCAUUCACAAUGGAGGCAACUCUGAUGGUGCAACGCCGCGUGGAGGAUGACGGUCCUAGGAUUGUAAACUCCUGUCAUUGGGGAGUAAGACUUAAGCGUUAAGAGCGUUUAAGUUUGAUAGUACCCAAAGAGGAAGGGACGGCUAACUUCGUGCCAGCAGCCGCGGUAAUACGAAGGUCCCAAGUGUUGUUCGGAAUCACUGGGCGUAAAGCGUGUGUAGGCUGCGCGGAAAGUCAAAUGAGAAAGCCCGGGGCUCAACCUCGGAACUGCAUUCGAUACUCCCGUGCUAGAGAAAUGGAGAGGUAAGUGGAAUUCCUGGUGUAGCAGUGAAAUGCGUGGAUAUCAGGAGGAACAUCAAUGGCGAAGGCAACUUACUGGACAUUUACUGACGCUCAGACACGAAGGCUAGGGUAGCGAAAGGGAUUAGAUACCCCUGUAGUCCUAGCAGUAAACGGUGCUCGCUUGGUGUGGGAGGAUUCGACCCCUUCUGUGCCGGAGCUAACGCGUUAAGCGAGCCGCCUGGGAAGUACGGUCGCAAGACUAAAACUCAAAGAAAUUGACGGGGACCCGCACAAGCGGUGGAGUAUGUGGCUUAAUUCGAUGCAACGCGAAGAACCUUACCUAGGCUUGACAUGCUUGUCGUACUCUCCCGAAAAGGAGAGGUCACUUCGGGCGGACAAUGCACAGGUGCUGCAUGGCCGUCGUCAGCUCGUGUCGUGAGAUGUUUGGUUAAGUCCAGCAACGAGCGCAACCCC
RNAcentral lists this ribosomal RNA (1107 nucleotides) under uncultured bacterium. Its description in RNAcentral is "bacterial SSU rRNA". It matches the Rfam family "Bacterial small subunit ribosomal RNA", at positions 8 to 1105 of the family's 1533-position model. The record is from RNAcentral.